GCGUUUAGCUCAGCUGGUUUAGAGCAUCUGCCUUACAAGCAGAGGGUCGGCGGUUCGAAUCCGUCAA
Molecule: transfer RNA, 67 nt
Filed under: uncultured Prevotella sp.
Lineage: Bacteria; Pseudomonadati; Bacteroidota; Bacteroidia; Bacteroidales; Prevotellaceae
Rfam family: tRNA
About the family: Transfer RNA (tRNA) molecules are approximately 80 nucleotides in length. Their secondary structure includes four short double-helical elements and three loops (D, anti-codon, and T loops).
Source: RNAcentral